CUACGGGGGGCAGCAGUGGGGGAUAUUGCACAAUGGGGGAAACCCUGAUGCAGCAACGCCGCGUGAAGGAAGACGGAUUUCGGUCUGUAAACUUCUAUCAGCUGGGAAGAAAAUGACGGUACCAGAAUAAGAAGCCCCGGCUAACUAUGGGCCAGCAGCCGCGGUAAUACGUAGGGGGCAAGCGUUAUCCGGAUUUACUGGGUGUAAAGGGUUCGUAGGCGGUCACUUAAGUCAGAUGUGAAAGCCCGAGGCUCAACCUCGGGACUGCAUUUGAAACUGGGUAACUAGAGUACAGGAGAGGAAAGCGGAAUUCCUAGUGUAGCGGUGAAAUGCGUAGAUAUUAGGAAGAACACCAGUGGCGAAGGCGGCUUUCUGGACUGUUACUGACGCUCAUGAACGAAAGCGUGGGGAGCGAACAGGAUUAGAUACCCUCGUAGUC
RNAcentral lists this ribosomal RNA (439 nucleotides) under uncultured bacterium. RNAcentral describes it as "partial 16S ribosomal RNA". It matches the Rfam family "Bacterial small subunit ribosomal RNA", at positions 339 to 795 of the family's 1533-position model. The record is from RNAcentral.